AUUGAACGCUGGCGGCAUGCCUUACACAUGCAAGUCGAACGGUAACGGGCCUUCGGGCGCCGACGAGUGGCGAACGGGUGAGUAAUACAUCGGAACGUGCCGAUCGUGGGGGAUAACGAGGCGAAAGCUUUGCUAAUACCGCAUACGAUCUACGGAUGAAAGCAGGGGACCGCAAGGCCUUGCGCGGACGGAGCGGCCGAUGGCAGAUUAGGUAGUUGGUGGGAUAAAAGCUUACCAAGCCGACGAUCUGUAGCUGGUCUGAGGGGAUGAUCAGCCACACUGGGACUGAGACACGGCCCAGACUCCUACGGGAGGCAGCAGUGGGGAAUUUUGGACAAUGGGCGCAAGCCUGAUCCAGCCAUGCCGCGUGCAGGAUGAAAGCCUUCGGGUUGUAAACUGCUUUUGUACGGAACGAAAAGCCUUCUUUUAAUACAGGAGGGUCAUGACGGUACCGUAAGAAUAAGCACCGGCUAACUACGUG
This 481-nucleotide ribosomal RNA is filed under the name uncultured bacterium. RNAcentral's name for it is "partial 16S ribosomal RNA". It matches the Rfam family "Bacterial small subunit ribosomal RNA", at positions 30 to 507 of the family's 1533-position model. The record is from RNAcentral.